RNAcentral lists this ribosomal RNA (301 nucleotides) under uncultured bacterium. RNAcentral describes it as "partial 16S ribosomal RNA". It matches the Rfam family "Bacterial small subunit ribosomal RNA", at positions 509 to 807 of the family's 1533-position model. The record is from RNAcentral.
CAGUCGCCGCGGUAAUACGUAGGUGGCAAGCGUUGUCCGGGAUUAUUGGGCGUAAAGGGCCCGCAGGCGGUUUCUUAAGUCUGUUGUGAAAGCCCCCGGCUCAACCGGGGAGGGUCAUUGGAAACUGGGAAACUUGAGUGCAGAAGAGGAGAGUGGAAUUCCACGUGUAGCGGUGAAAUGCGUAGAGAUGUGGAGGAACACCAGUGGCGAAGGCGACUCUCUGGUCUGUAACUGACGCUGAGGAGCGAAAGCGUGGGGAGCGAACAGGAUUAGAUACCCCUGUAGUCCCUGUCUCUUAUAC